UUUGAAUAAGGUUGUACCAAAAGGCUGUAGCAUUUGACCUAACCAAGAUCAUACUUGUUUGCAUCAAUCAUGUUGAUCAAUGGAUGAAUAUUACAAUUUGUGUGAACACAUAUAUUUAUGAUGUUUCUGUUUUGUUUUGUUUUUUACAUAUAUACAUAGAGAAAAAACCAUAUACAAGCUAGUUCUUUACAAGUCUGUAUUGAAUAACAUUACAAAGGUUCUUAUGUAAUUUACAGGUUUCUUUUUAUUUUCUUCUUUUGUUUAUUUAUUUCUUUCAUUCUGCGAUGUCUUCAAAUAAUUUAAGAUAAGUCUGUACCCAAUCUGUUAAAAGAAAUGAAUACUUCAACAUUUUUUGUAUUUUUAGAAUUUUUUAUUAUGAGAAAUGUACUUUCGGAUUGACAACAUUUAUCAGCACUCUUUGAAAUUGCAAACAAAUUAAAACAUAAUGAAAUUACAUUAUGCUCAUGGUUUUUAUAUAACACUUGCUUUUAUAUCUUUUAAUUUUUUAAAUUUAACUUUAAAUUAAUUUUUUUUUUCCACUAUUGAAGAGCUAGCUUCAAUAUUGAAUGGUUAUGGAAAUUUCCACAGCAUUUUGCAAGUAUGAUUUGUAUAACUUUGAUGGUUUUUUUCACUGAAAUUGACCAAAAUUAUCUAAACAAAACAGAUUGGUAUACUAAAAUCUAUUAUGUAGGGUUGUGGUAAUUAGAAUUUCCAGUAAAAAAUUCUUCUCAUAUAAAUGAAUCAAAAUAAAAUAAAUCACUUAUGUAUUUAAUUUUUUAAAAAUACUUUAGAUCACAAGACAUAAAGCAAUUAAUUUACAAAUGUGAACAAUAUGUUCAUUGACUUCAAACCUUUGCACAUCAAUAUUAUCUGUCAAAAAAAUAGUUGAAGGGAUAGUUGUCCAUGUCAUGUACACCAACAUAAAAUGUUACACACAAAACACCCAUAGAUUGAGAUCAGAGAAUAAACAGGUUUCACAUCACAUUCAAAUGAAUAAAAAAUGACUUGCCUGAAUGAUGUUUUUGUCUCCAAAAUACUCUCCAUUUAGAACAUGUUUGACUAAAUAUUGAACAAUUUAAUUGGUAAUUGUGCACAAUAAUUUUCUGACAAAACAUUUUCGCCCACCAGCUCUUCUUUGUCCAACCUCUUGCUGCAUGUUCUGAUGUAAAAUUGUUCUUAAAUCUGUAAAAAGUUCUUUAGUAUUGAAUAAAAUUAUUGCUGUGUUACAUAUCAACAAUACAGUUGACAAUUUUUAGAAUGAUUUGAUAUGGACAAGAAAAAAGAAAAAAGAAAAUAUACACACACAUUAAAAAUAAAAAUUAAUAAAUAAAAAAUUUUAUGUUUAUGCAUUUGAACAUACAAUCUACAAAAAUAAUCAUAAUUUAUUGCUCACAAUAAUUUUAUCAUAGAAUUAUUUAUUGAUGAACUUAUAUGCAUUCUUGAAAUUCUUCUACUAUUAUUAACUUGAAAAAUGGUUGAGCUUGUAAUCAAAUUUCGGCAUUGAUUUUGUUUCAUGAUAUUAUUUGUGAUUAUUUAUUAUUUUAUUAAUUUAUAAAAUUUUCACAGAAUUAAAUUUUAUUUUGAUAUCAUAAUUUAAUAUACUAUGAGGGAUAUUUCAUUUUGCUUUUAGUAUAACCAAUAGGAACGUAUGUAUGUAUAUAUAAAUAUAUAUAUAUAUAUAUAUAUAUAUAGGUAAAUGUCAAAACGACCCAUCUAUUUACUAAAUAAGUCCACCCUAUUGUGACCGUCAUUAGAAAAUGGAUCAUCUCCAAAAAGCAUUGUUACAAUCAUGGCCCUCAUCUCCACCC
This 1808-nucleotide long non-coding RNA is filed under the name Physcomitrium patens. RNAcentral describes it as "long non-coding RNA (PPAT_LNC011454)". Lineage: Eukaryota; Viridiplantae; Streptophyta; Bryopsida; Funariales; Funariaceae. The record is from RNAcentral.